CAGGUUUUGGAGUUAAUCGCUUGAAAAUUUAUUUUUAAGAGGAAAGUCUGGACUUUGCAGGGCAAGGGAGGCAGCUAACGGCUGCUGGGAGAAAUCUUAAGGAAAGUGCCACAGAAAAUAAACCGCCUGUUCUUUCAGGUAAGGGUGAAAAGGUAGUGUAAGAGACUACCAGUAAUUUAAGGAAUUAAAUUAGCUAGGUAAACCCCUCUCAAAGCAAGGGCAAGCAGAAAGCUGUUAAGAGGCGGCCCGUCUUGGCUUGAUUGGUAGCUCGCUAAAAUCCGUAAGUAAUUAUUGAUUUAGAUAAAUGAUUAAUGAAUACAGAAUCCGGCUUAUACCAAAGCCUAUGAA
Non-coding RNA from Leptotrichia buccalis, 348 nucleotides. Lineage: Bacteria; Fusobacteriati; Fusobacteriota; Fusobacteriia; Fusobacteriales; Leptotrichiaceae. The record is from Rfam.